UUGUAGGUCACAAAUAGGAAUCCAUAGGUUACGUUCCUGCAUGAUCAUCCAUAUUGUCCACAAGUUAUUUACAUGCAAAAGUUACUUAAGAAAUAUUUAAAUCAUAUUAUUCUUAUUAUGAGAUGAUAAUAACAUUCUCAAACAAACACUUAUCUGUCUCACUAUGGGUAAGAAGGUGGAGUUGGUAAUGAUGCAAUAGGCAGGACAGCAGCAUAACAUAUUUCUGGAAUGGAUCUUAAGGCCCAACCAGUGAACCAAAUAUACGCCGGGUGUUAUUCCCUCCACCCUCACGUUUGCUCCCACCACUUCUCCAACUUUUUAUAACUUUUUUUAAUUACAAAAAUAACCUUUUUUUUAUUUUAUAUAAAUAUUUAUUUUUUACUUUUACUUAUUUUAAUUUAAAACCCUAUUCUCUUCUUUAUUGCUGUGGCAUUACCCCCAAACCCCCACAUAACCCCUUCGUUCCUCACAUACCAUUCUUUUCUCCAAAUUCCAAUAUUUUACUUCUCAUUUUUAUUUAUUCUUCUUUUCCAUACUUUCAUACCAGUGACCUCCAACCUAAUCACCACUUCUUCAUCUCCAACCUCUCUCCAAACCAUCCCCUAGUUCAUAACCAUCUCACUAAACUCUCUCUUUCUCAUUCAAAUAUAACUCCUGACGCCACUCACUCCUCUUCUUUCUUAACCAUAUUUCUUCUUCUCUCUCACGAUUUAAUUUCAGCUUUUUUCCUUGUUAUCAAAAUCUCUACUUUGCUACUUUUCCCUUCUCAGCUUCUUCUUCUAUGUUGGGAAUAUGAUUUCGUGAUCCAUAGCUUUUCUGGAUUCGUGGUUCCAG
This 834-nucleotide long non-coding RNA is filed under the name Vigna radiata. Its description in RNAcentral is "long non-coding RNA (VRAD_LNC014283)". The record is from RNAcentral. Lineage: Eukaryota; Viridiplantae; Streptophyta; Magnoliopsida; Fabales; Fabaceae.